UCCCCGGUGAUCCAGCAGUAGGAUGCCGCUCUGUUAAAGCGGACGCGCUGGUGCGACCCCAGCCCGGGGAGCCA
Molecule: transfer RNA, 74 nt
Filed under: Verrucomicrobiales bacterium
Lineage: Bacteria; Pseudomonadati; Verrucomicrobiota; Verrucomicrobiia; Verrucomicrobiales
Description: tRNA-Asn
Rfam family: tRNA
About the family: Transfer RNA (tRNA) molecules are approximately 80 nucleotides in length. Their secondary structure includes four short double-helical elements and three loops (D, anti-codon, and T loops). Further hydrogen bonds mediate the characteristic L-shaped molecular structure. tRNAs have two regions of fundamental functional importance: the anti-codon, which is responsible for specific mRNA codon recognition, and the 3' end, to which the tRNAs corresponding amino acid is attached (by aminoacyl-tRNA synthetases). tRNAs cope with the degeneracy of the genetic code in two manners: having more than one tRNA (with a specific anti-codon) for a particular amino acid; and 'wobble' base-pairing, i.e. permitting non-standard base-pairing at the 3rd anti-codon position.
Source: RNAcentral